This 22-nucleotide non-coding RNA is filed under the name Rattus norvegicus (Norway rat). The record is from RNAcentral. Lineage: Eukaryota; Metazoa; Chordata; Mammalia; Rodentia; Muridae.
GAAUUGUAACUGCCACCAUAGU